Molecule: non-coding RNA, 74 nt
Organism: Pteropus alecto (black flying fox)
Lineage: Eukaryota; Metazoa; Chordata; Mammalia; Chiroptera; Pteropodidae
Source: Rfam
GGCUCCAUAGUGUAGUGGUUAGCAUGUCCACUUUACAUGCAGAAGAUCCUGAGUUCAUGCCCCAGGUGAAGCCA